GUUUCUAUAAUAAACACUUUUUAAGUAAUACCGCUGAACCUAAACAUUCCUCUGCCUAAAUCUCACGUAUAAUGAUAUAAUGAAGAUUCUUCAUUAUUCCAACUCCUAAAUCAUGACAGCAGUAGCACGAAAGGUAUUAGUUAUGUGUAGCCUGGAGAGUCACGGACCUGUGAGGCUUUGGUGCAUUAGGGUUCCCUUGCUCAUAGAAACAUCGCAAAAGUGAGACUGCUUCAGAUGCCAUUAUUCCACCAGUACAUUUGAAACCCUUUCCUUGUGCAACUUCCCCACUAUUAUGUGGUUGAUUGCUGCUUGAAUGCAAAGACAAUAUUGACCCACAGCCUCCAAAUUUAUCAUUUGCACAGCCAUAAUAUACUUCCUUUAUACCAAGUUCACAUGUAACAUAGAGAGUGCAUUUUGAAAAAUUUUCAGCAACUUCUGACACUGAAAGUCCAUUUUUCUGCC
RNAcentral lists this unclassified non-coding RNA (462 nucleotides) under Hevea brasiliensis (rubber tree). The record is from RNAcentral. Lineage: Eukaryota; Viridiplantae; Streptophyta; Magnoliopsida; Malpighiales; Euphorbiaceae.